RNAcentral lists this ribosomal RNA (224 nucleotides) under uncultured bacterium. RNAcentral describes it as "partial 16S ribosomal RNA". It matches the Rfam family "Bacterial small subunit ribosomal RNA", at positions 1268 to 1500 of the family's 1533-position model. The record is from RNAcentral.
CGGAACCCGAAAGCCUGUCUCAGUUCGGAUUGGAGUCUGCAACCCGACUCCAUGAAGCUGGAUUCGCUAGUAAUCGCGCAUCAGCCACGGCGCGGUGAAUACGUUCCCGGGCCUUGUACACACCGCCCGUCAAGCCAUGGAAGCCGGGGGUGCCUGAAGUGCGCUGCCGCAAGGAGCGCCCUAGGGUAAAACCGGUGACUGGGGCUAAGUCGUAACAAGGUAAC